Molecule: long non-coding RNA, 351 nt
Organism: Rhopalosiphum padi (bird cherry-oat aphid)
Lineage: Eukaryota; Metazoa; Arthropoda; Insecta; Hemiptera; Aphididae
Exons: 3
Source: RefSeq, a predicted model, not a curated record
AGGGAGUACUGAUGCUCCAUUCAGACAUAACACAAUUUUUGUGCAAAUUAAAUCCACAUUUUCACUUCAGUCUACCAAAACAAAUCAAAAUCCAAAAAUGGGUGCUGAAAAAGUAACAAUGAAUAUCGUUGUCGUUGGACAAGUCCAAUCUGCCAAGGCCAUCAAAUCGGUCGCCAAAGCCACCCCAGCCACCAGCCAGUUGAUGAACUGUUAAUUCAUGACGUCCAUAAAAUUCUCAAAUUAAAAAAUGCCAUAGCCCAAACAAUGCAUAUAAUUAUACUUAUAAUUCGUUAAUAAUUAUGAUGUAAGUAUAUUGACAUUGUAAAAUAAAUCAGUUUCUUCCAUCUUUAA